CGGGACUGUCACCUUUGUUAAGGAGCCACU
Molecule: non-coding RNA, 30 nt
Filed under: Homo sapiens (human)
Lineage: Eukaryota; Metazoa; Chordata; Mammalia; Primates; Hominidae
Source: RNAcentral